GACGAACGCUGGCGGCGUGCCUAAUACAUGCAAGUCGAACGCUUCUUUCCUGCCGAGUGCUUGCACUCACUUGGAAAGAGGAGUGGCGGACGGGUGAGUAACACGUGGGUAACCUGCCCAUCAGAGGGGGAUAACACUUGGAAACAGGUGCUAAUACCGCAUAACAGUCAACACCGCAUGGUGUUGGUUUGAAAGACGCUUUCGGGUGUCACUGAUGGAUGGACCCGCGGUGCAUUAGCUAGUUGGUGAGGUAACGGCUCACCAAGGCCAUGAUGCAUAGCCGACCUGAGAGGGUGAUCGGCCACACUGGGACUGAGACACGGCCCAGACUCCUACGGGAGGCAGCAGUAGGGAAUCUUCGGCAAUGGACGAAAGUCUGACCGAGCAACGCCGCGUGAGUGAAGAAGGUUUUCGGAUCGUAAAACUCUGUUGUUAGAGAAGAACAAGUGGGAGAGUAACUGCUCCCGCCUUGACGGUAUCUAACCAGAAAGCCACGGCUAACUACGUGCCAGCCGCCGCCGUAACAC
RNAcentral lists this ribosomal RNA (527 nucleotides) under uncultured bacterium. Its description in RNAcentral is "bacterial SSU rRNA". It matches the Rfam family "Bacterial small subunit ribosomal RNA", at positions 28 to 526 of the family's 1533-position model. The record is from RNAcentral.